UGGUCUGAUUAUGGCCUGUGAUUGGCUGAACGCUGGCGGGAUGCUUUACACAUGCAGCCUGAACGGCAGCACGGACUUCGGUCUGGUGACGAGCGGCGAACGGGUGAGUAAUGUAUCGGAACGUGCCCAGUAUGGGAGAAUUUUACGCCAGAAAGCGUAGCUAAUAUCGCGCAUACUGCCUCUUCGGGGGAAAGCGGGGACCUUUCGGGCCUCACUAUUAGAGCGGCCGAUAUCGGAUUAGCUAGUUGGUGGGGUAACGCUCACUACAGUGACGAUCCGUAGCUGGUUUGAGAGGACGACCAGCCACACUGGGACUGAGACACGCCUAGACUCGCAUGGGAGGCAGCAGUGGGAAUUUUGGACAAUGGGGGAAACCCCGAUCCAGCCAUCCCGCGUAGGUGAUGAAGGCCUUCGGGUUGUAAAGCACUUUUGGCAGGAAAGAAACGGCACGGGAUAAUACCCUGCAACCGACGUACCGCAGGCUUAAGCACCGCCAAUUUACGUGCCGUGCGUUGCGGCACACGUAGGCAAGCGUUAAUCGGAAUUACUGGGCGUAAAGCGUGCGCAGGCGGUUCGGAAAGAAAGAUGUGAAAUCCAGAGCUAACUUGAACGGUUUUUAACUACUGAGCCAGAGUGUGUCAGAGAGGUAGAAAUCUGCGUAGCAGUAAAAUGCGUAGAUAUGCGGAGGAACACCGAUGGCGAAGCGCAGCCUUCCCGGAUAACAUCAUCGUCAUGCACGAAAGCGUGGGGAGCAAACAGGAUUAGAUACCCUGGUAGUCCACGGGCCCCAAACGAUGUCAACUAGCCGUUAAAUUUUCGGGCCUUGGUAGCGCAGCUAUCUGCAGGAAGGGGGUUGACCGCCUGGGGGAGUACGGUCGCAAGAUUAAACCUGGAAGGAACAAGACGACCGCACAAGCGGUGGAUACAGAUGAUUAAUUCGAUGCAGUCUUCGCGAAAAACCUUACCUACCCUUGACAUGUCUGGAAUCCUGAAGAGAUUGGGAGUGUUCGCAAGAGAACCGGAACACAGGUGCUGUACGCCGUCACGUCAGCUUCCAGUCGCAGAUGCUGGUUAUGGUCCCAACGAGCGCAACCCUUUGCCAUUAGUUGCUGGCUGCGCAGACUGAUGAGAUUCGCCGGUGACAAACCGGAGGAAGGUGGGGACACGUCAAGUCCUCGCGGCCCGGCAGGGCUUCACACGUCACACGCCGUCGUGGAUUAGAGGUGUGGUCGCCAACCCGUGAGGGGGAGCCAAUCCCAGAAACCCGAUCGUAGUCCGGAUCGCAGUUCGCAACCUCGACUGCGUGAAGUCGGAAUCGCUGGUAAUCGCGGAUCAGCAUGUCGCGGUGAAUACGUUCCUGGCCCGGUACGACACCGCCCGUCACAAUCAGCGGGGAGUGGGUUUUACCGAAGUGGAAUAGCCUGAACUGUAAGGAGGAAGGUGAUUACCACGGUAGGAUUCACUGGGUAAGCCGUAACAGCAAAAUCAUGUUCGAUGCUCCCAGGAGUACACGCUGCAACUGA
Molecule: ribosomal RNA, 1523 nt
Filed under: uncultured Bordetella sp.
Lineage: Bacteria; Pseudomonadati; Pseudomonadota; Betaproteobacteria; Burkholderiales; Alcaligenaceae
Description: partial 16S-23S ribosomal RNA intergenic spacer
Rfam family: Bacterial small subunit ribosomal RNA
Source: RNAcentral